Molecule: non-coding RNA, 117 nt
Filed under: Nomascus leucogenys (northern white-cheeked gibbon)
Lineage: Eukaryota; Metazoa; Chordata; Mammalia; Primates; Hylobatidae
Source: Rfam by way of RNAcentral
GCCGGGCGUGGUGGCUCAUGCCUGUAAUCCCAGCACUUUGGGAGGCCGAGGCAGGUGGAUCACCUGAGGUCAGGAGUUCAAGACCAGCCUGGCCAACAUGGUGAAACCCUGUCUCUA